CCUAAGGUAGCGAAAUUCCUUGUCGGGUAAGUUCCGACCUGCACGAAUGGCGUAAUGAUGGCCAGGCUGUCUCCACCCGAGACUCAGUGAAAUUGAACUCGCUGUGAAGAUGCAGUGUACCCGCGGCAAGACGGAAAGACCCCGUGAACCUUUACUAUAGCUUGACACUGAACAUUGAGCCUUGAUGUGUAGGAUAGGUGGGAGGCUUUGAAGUGUGGACGCCAGUCUGCAUGGAGCCGACCUUGAAAUACCACCCUUUAAUGUUUGAUGUUCUAACGUGGGCCCCUAAUCGGGGUUGCGGACAGUGUCUGGUGGGUAGUUUGACUGGGGCGGUCUCCUCCUAAAGAGUAACGGAGGAGCACGAAGGUUGGCUAAUCCUGGUCGGACAUCAGGAGGUUAGUGCAAUGGCAUAAGCCAGCUUGACUGCGAGCGUGACGGCGCGAGCAGGUGCGAAAGCAGGUCAUAGUGAUCCGGUGGUUCUGAAUGGAAGGGCCAUCGCUCAACGGAUAAAAGGUACUCCGGGGAUAACAGGCUGAUACCGCCCAAGAGUUCAUAUCGACGGCGGUGUUUGGCACCUCGAUGUCGGCUCAUCACAUCCUGGGGCUGAAGUAGGUCCCAAGGGUAUGGCUGUUCGCCAUUUAAAGUGGUACGCGAGCUGGGUUUAGAACGUCGUGAGACAGUUCGGUCCCUAUCUGCCGUGGGCGCUGGAGAACUGAGGGGGGCUGCUCCUAGUACGAGAGGACCGGAGUGGACGCAUCACUGGUGUUCGGGUUGUCAUGCCAAUGGCACUGCCCGGUAGCUAAAUGCGGAAGAGAUAAGUGCUGAAAGCAUCUAAGCACGAAACUUGCCCCGAGAUGAGUUCUCCCUGAGACUUAGAGUCUCCUGAAGGAACGUUGAAGACGACGACGUUGAUAGGCCGGGUGUGUAAGCGCAGCGAUGCGUUGAGCUAACCGGUACUAAUGAACCGUGAGGCUUAACCUU
Molecule: ribosomal RNA, 981 nt
Filed under: human gut metagenome
Description: bacterial LSU rRNA
Rfam family: Bacterial large subunit ribosomal RNA
Source: RNAcentral